UUAGAUUGGUGCAAAAGUUAUUGUGGUUUUUGCCAUUGAAAGUAAUGCCAAAAACCGCAAUGACUUUUACACCAACCUAAU
RNAcentral lists this microRNA precursor (81 nucleotides) under Cebus imitator (Panamanian white-faced capuchin). RNAcentral's name for it is "miRNA (ENSCCAG00000010542.1)". Lineage: Eukaryota; Metazoa; Chordata; Mammalia; Primates; Cebidae. The record is from RNAcentral.